This 562-nucleotide ribosomal RNA is filed under the name uncultured bacterium. RNAcentral's name for it is "bacterial SSU rRNA". It matches the Rfam family "Bacterial small subunit ribosomal RNA", at positions 338 to 917 of the family's 1533-position model. The record is from RNAcentral.
CCUACGGGAGGCAGCAGUGGGGAAUAUUGCACAAUGGACGAAAGUCUGAUGCAGCAACGCCGCGUGGAGGAUGACACAUUUCGGUGCGUAAACUCCUUUUAUAUAGGAAGAUAAUGACGGUACUAUAUGAAUAAGCGCCGGCUAACUCCGUGCCAGCAGCCGCGGUAAUACGGAGGGCGCAAGCGUUACUCGGAAUCACUGGGCGUAAAGAGCGUGUAGGCGGAUAAAUAAGUUGGGAGUGAAAUCCUAUGGCUCAACCAUAGAACUGCUUCCAAAACUGUUUAUCUAGAAUAUGGGAGAGGUAGAUGGAAUUUCUGGUGUAGGGGUAAAAUCCGUAGAGAUCAGAAGGAAUACCGAUUGCGAAGGCGAUCUACUGGAACAUUAUUGACGCUGAGACGCGAAAGCGUGGGGAGCAAACAGGAUUAGAUACCCUGGUAGUCCACGCCCUAAACGAUGUACACUAGUUGUUGUGAGGCUAGACCUUGCAGUAAUGCAGUUAACACAUUAAGUGUACCGCCUGGGGAGUACGGUCGCAAGAUUAAAACUCAAAGGAAUUGACGGA